RNAcentral lists this ribosomal RNA (514 nucleotides) under uncultured microorganism. RNAcentral's name for it is "bacterial SSU rRNA". It matches the Rfam family "Bacterial small subunit ribosomal RNA", at positions 9 to 505 of the family's 1533-position model. The record is from RNAcentral.
GAGUUUGAUCCUGGCUCAGGAUGAACGCUGGCGGCGUGCCUAGUACAUGCAAGUCGAGCGAACGGACGAGAAGCUUGCUUCUCUGAUGUUAGCGGCGGACGGGUGAGUAACACGUGGGUAACCUACCUAUAAGACUGGGAUAACUCCGGGAAACCGGGGCUAAUACCGGAUAACACAUGAAACCGCAUGGUUUCAUGAUGAAAGACGGUCUUGCUGUCACUUAUAGAUGGAUCCGCGCUGCAUUAGCUAGUUGGUAAGGUAACGGCUUACCAAGGCAACGAUGCAUAGCCGACCUGAGAGGGUGAUCGGCCACACUGGAACUGAGACACGGUCCAGACUCCUACGGGAGGCAGCAGUAGGGAAUCUUCCGCAAUGGGCGAAAGCCUGACGGAGCAACGCCGCGUGAGUGAUGAAGGUCUUCGGAUCGUAAAACUCUGUUAUUAGGGAAGAACAUAUGUGUAAGUAACUGUGCACAUCUUGACGGUACCUAAUCAGAAAGCCACGGCUAACUACG